Molecule: small nuclear RNA, 62 nt
Filed under: Cebus imitator (Panamanian white-faced capuchin)
Lineage: Eukaryota; Metazoa; Chordata; Mammalia; Primates; Cebidae
Description: U7 small nuclear RNA (ENSCCAG00000000657.1)
Rfam family: U7 small nuclear RNA
About the family: Animal histone pre-mRNAs are spliced by a different mechanism than nuclear pre-mRNAs and self-splicing introns.
Source: Rfam by way of RNAcentral
CAGUGUUAUAGCUCUUUCAGAAUUUGUCUAGCAGGCUUUCCGGGUUUUACCAGAAAGCCCCU